RNAcentral lists this ribosomal RNA (253 nucleotides) under uncultured bacterium. Its description in RNAcentral is "partial 16S ribosomal RNA". It matches the Rfam family "Bacterial small subunit ribosomal RNA", at positions 524 to 776 of the family's 1533-position model. The record is from RNAcentral.
UACGUAGGGGGCGAGCGUUGUCCGGAAUCAUUGGGCGUAAAGAGCUCGUAGGCGGCGCGGUAAGUCGGGUGUGAAAUCUCGGGGCUUAACUCCGAAACUGCAUUCGAUACUGCCGUGCUUGAGGACUGGAGAGGAGACUGGAAUUUACGGUGUAGCGGUGAAAUGCGUAGAUAUCGUAAGGAAGACCAGUGGCGAAGGCGGGUCUCUGGACAGUUCCUGACGCUGAGGCACGAAGGUCAGGGGAGCAAACGGG